Molecule: ribosomal RNA, 253 nt
Filed under: uncultured bacterium
Lineage: Bacteria
Description: partial 16S ribosomal RNA
Rfam family: Bacterial small subunit ribosomal RNA
Source: RNAcentral
UACGGAGGUCCCGAGCGUUGUUCGGAUUCAUUGGGCGUAAAGGGUGCGUAGGCGGUCUUCUAAGUUUGAUGUGAAAUCCCGGGGCUCAACCCUGGAAUUGCAUUGAAUACUGGAGGACUAGAGUACCGGAGAGGAAACUGGAAUUUACGGUGUAGCAGUGAAAUGCGUAGAGAUCGGAAGGAAGACCAGUGGCGAAGGCGAGUUUCUGGACGGUAACUGACGCUGAGGCACGAAGGCCAGGGGAGCAAACGGG